GGAAUCUUCGGCAAUGGACGGAAAGUCUGACCGAGCAACGCCGCGUGAGUGAAGAAGGUUUUCGAAUCGUAAAACUCUGUUGGUAGAGAAGAACGUUGGUGAGAGUGGAAAGCUCAUCAAGUGACGGUAACUACCCAGAAAGGGACGGCUAACUACGUGCCAC
RNAcentral lists this ribosomal RNA (163 nucleotides) under uncultured bacterium. Its description in RNAcentral is "partial 16S rRNA". It matches the Rfam family "Bacterial small subunit ribosomal RNA", at positions 358 to 511 of the family's 1533-position model. The record is from RNAcentral.